CUUCCCAUCAGCCCUUGAGGCUGCAGGGACCAGCCCUUUGUGGAGAAGCCCAGGCGGCCUAGAAUCCAGUGUCGUCCGUGAGUGCUUGGCUGGUGUUCAAGUGCAUCUUCCAGCCUGAGACCGCGUGGACUCGCUCAUCGUGAGGGCGAGAGGAGGAUAAGCCCAUUGGGCUGUCGGCUGAGAGUGAGAUUGCUGAUGAAAUCCUUGGCAUCGUCGGAGAUCUCAUCGAAUGCCUCGUCGUCGAAGUCCCAGGUGGCUGAGGUAACGUUGGCCAAGGUUUCGUUAUCGUUGUCUCCCAUGAAGGGGGAAAGGCCACUGACUCUGGAGAGACAAGAGCAGGACAGCAGGUGUGGCUAGGAGAGGGCGCGACGACCAGAUGAGGGAAUUGAGGCACAGCCCAGGCUCAAGUCACCUGCCCAAAGAUUCACAGCCAGUGAGAUUGGAAGCCAGGUAUCUGCCUCUAGAGCCUGUCCUCUUAAAUGCUAUACUAUCCUAACAUUUCUGUAAAGAUGAAGUAAAUUGCAGUGUUCAGCACUGGCACCAGGCCUGGUCCACAGUAAGGAGGCGGUCCAUGCCCGGAGAUCUCAUGCAGUUCUGCUGGGUUCCCUCCACUGCCUUACCAAGCUGUGAGUGCAGGAAUGACUUUGUGACCAGCAGCUUAAGCCAAAUAAACUUUAUAAGGUAAAGAAUUUCAAAACAAA
Molecule: long non-coding RNA, 701 nt
Filed under: Homo sapiens (human)
Lineage: Eukaryota; Metazoa; Chordata; Mammalia; Primates; Hominidae
Description: HSALNT0314240
Source: RNAcentral